This 111-nucleotide transfer RNA is filed under the name Penicillium polonicum. It matches the Rfam family "tRNA". From Rfam's summary of the family: Transfer RNA (tRNA) molecules are approximately 80 nucleotides in length. Their secondary structure includes four short double-helical elements and three loops (D, anti-codon, and T loops). Further hydrogen bonds mediate the characteristic L-shaped molecular structure. tRNAs have two regions of fundamental functional importance: the anti-codon, which is responsible for specific mRNA codon recognition, and the 3' end, to which the tRNAs corresponding amino acid is attached (by aminoacyl-tRNA synthetases). tRNAs cope with the degeneracy of the genetic code in two manners: having more than one tRNA (with a specific anti-codon) for a particular amino acid; and 'wobble' base-pairing, i.e. permitting non-standard base-pairing at the 3rd anti-codon position. The record is from Rfam by way of RNAcentral. Lineage: Eukaryota; Fungi; Ascomycota; Eurotiomycetes; Eurotiales; Aspergillaceae.
GGUUCUGUAGUGUAGUGGUAAUCACUCUGGUUUUUGAAACGAAUUUACCUCUUUAAGGCGGAUUUGAUUUGAAAAAUACCAGAAACCCCGGUUCGAACCCGGGCAGGACCU